RNAcentral lists this ribosomal RNA (210 nucleotides) under Triticum aestivum (bread wheat). RNAcentral's name for it is "partial small subunit ribosomal RNA". The record is from RNAcentral. Lineage: Eukaryota; Viridiplantae; Streptophyta; Magnoliopsida; Poales; Poaceae.
AUGGCGCCGGGGUUCACCAAGUUUGAUGUGGAGAAAUUUGAUGGCACGGGUAACUUCGGUCUAUGGCAGACAAGAGUCAAGGAUAUUCUGGCGCAGCAAGGAAUCUUAAAGGGUUUGCGGGAGACGAAGCCGACCAAGGUUGACAACGAUGCAUGGGAGGAUAUGCAAGUGCAGGCGGCCGCUGCCAUACGGCUUUGUCUUGCAGAUUAG